UACGAGGGGUGCAAACGUUAUUCGGAUUUAUUGGGUGUAAAGGGUGUGUAGACGGUUUAUUAAGUUCGUUGUUAAAACUUUCGGCCUAACCGAAAGCUUGCGGUGAAAACUGGUAAACUAGAGGGUGAAAGAGAGGAGUGGAAUUCUCGGAGUAGCGGUAAAAUGCGUAGAUCUCGAGAGGAACACCGAUGGCGAAAGCAGCUCCUUGGUUCACUCCUGACGUUGAAACACGAAAGCGUGGGGAGCAAACAGG
This 253-nucleotide ribosomal RNA is filed under the name uncultured bacterium. Its description in RNAcentral is "partial 16S ribosomal RNA". It matches the Rfam family "Bacterial small subunit ribosomal RNA", at positions 524 to 776 of the family's 1533-position model. The record is from RNAcentral.